Molecule: long non-coding RNA, 345 nt
Organism: Suricata suricatta (meerkat)
Lineage: Eukaryota; Metazoa; Chordata; Mammalia; Carnivora; Herpestidae
Exons: 2
Source: RefSeq, a predicted model, not a curated record
UAAACCAUGAGAUUAUGAUGUCAGCCCAAGAGGCAGAUGCUUAACUGACUGACCACCCAGGUGCCCUAGUCCCUUUCUGAAGAACAUGAAGGAGCAACCAUUAAGUUAAAAAAAUGACAUUCAAAACUCUCAACAAUCUGACCAUAACUUUCGUCAUCUUCCUAAAUAAACUCUACACCCAGUAUGGGGCUGGAACUUAUGAUCCCAAGAUCAAGAGUCACAAGUUCUAACAAAGGAGCGAACCGGGCGCCCCUGUAAUUUUCUUUUAAUAAAGAGAAGAGAAUUGUGUUUUCAUGGAAUAAUCUAAUUAAUGUUUGAGUUGUAAAAUAAAAAUUUUUAAAUACA